RNAcentral lists this ribosomal RNA (497 nucleotides) under uncultured bacterium. Its description in RNAcentral is "partial 16S ribosomal RNA". It matches the Rfam family "Bacterial small subunit ribosomal RNA", at positions 28 to 507 of the family's 1533-position model. The record is from RNAcentral.
GAUGAACGCUGGCGGCGUGCCUAAUACAUGCAAGUCGAGCGAACAGACGAGGAGCUUGCUCCUUUGACGUUAGCGGCGGACGGGUGAGUAACACGUGGGUAACCUACCUAUAAGACUGGGAUAACUUCGGGAAACCGGAGCUAAUACCGGAUAAUAUUUCGAACCGCAUGGUUCGAUAGUGAAAGAUGGCUUUGCUAUCACUUAUAGAUGGACCUGCGCCGUAUUAGCUAGUUGGUAAGGUAACGGCUUACCAAGGCAACGACACGUAGCCGACCUGAGAGGGUGAUCGGCCACACUGGAACUGAGGCACGGUCCAGACUCCUACGGGAGGCAGCAGUAGGGAAUCUUCCGCGAGGGGCGAGAGCCUGACGGAGCAACGCCGCGUGAGUGAUGAAGGUCUUCGGAUCGUAAAACUCUGUUAUUAGGGAAGAACAAACGUGUAAGUAACUGUGCACGUCUUGACGGUACCUAAUCAGAAAGCCACGGCUAACUACGUG